RNAcentral lists this ribosomal RNA (208 nucleotides) under uncultured bacterium. Its description in RNAcentral is "partial 16S ribosomal RNA". It matches the Rfam family "Bacterial small subunit ribosomal RNA", at positions 1286 to 1500 of the family's 1533-position model. The record is from RNAcentral.
UCCCAGUUCGGACUGGAGUCUGCAACCCGACUCCACGAAGUUGGAUUCGCUAGUAAUCGCGCAUCAGCCAUGGCGCGGUGAAUACGUUCCCGGGCCCUUGUACACACCGCCCGUCAAGCCAUGGGAGCCGGGGGCGCCUGAAGUCCGGGACCGCGAGGACCGGCCUAGGGCGAAACUGGUAACUGGGGCUAAGUCGUAACAAGGUACC